GAUGAACGCUGGCGGCGUGCUUAACACAUGCAAGUCGAACGAGAAGUGGAGACGGAAACCUUCGGGCGGAAGACUUUAUUUCGAGUGGCGGACGGGUGAGUAACGCGUGGGUAACCUGCCUCAUACAGGGGGAUAACAGUUGGAAACGACUGUUAAUACCGCAUAAGACCACAGCACCGCAUGGUGCGGGGGUAAAAACUCCGGUGGUAUGAGAUGGACCCGCGUUCGAUUAGCCAGUUGGCGGGGUAACGGCCCACCAAAGCGACGAUCGAUAGCCGAACUGAGAGGCUGACCGGACACAUUGGGACUGAGACACGGCCCAGACUCCUACGGGAGGCAGCAGUGGGGAAUAUUGCACAAUGGGGGAAACCCUGAUGCAGCGACGCCGCGUGAGUGAAGAAGUAUUUCGGUAUGUAAAGCUCUAUCAGCAGGGAAGAAAAUGACGGUACCUGAGUAAGAAGCCCCGGCUAACUACGUG
Molecule: ribosomal RNA, 478 nt
Filed under: uncultured bacterium
Lineage: Bacteria
Description: partial 16S ribosomal RNA
Rfam family: Bacterial small subunit ribosomal RNA
Source: RNAcentral